GAGUUUGAUCAUGGCUCAGAUUGAACGCUGGCGGCAUGCCUUACACAUGCAAGUCGAACGGCAGCACGGGAGCUUGCUCCCGGUGGCGAGUGGCGAACGGGUGAGUAAUGCAUCGGAACGUAUCCUGGAGUGGGGGAUAACGUAGCGAAAGUUACGCUAAUACCGCAUAUUCUGUGAGCAGGAAAGCGGGGGACCUUCGGGCCUCGCGCUCUUGGAGCGGCCGAUGUCGGAUUAGCUAGUUGGUGAGGUAAAGGCUCACCAAGGCGACGAUCCGUAGCAGGUCUGAGAGGAUGAUCUGCCACACUGGAACUGAGACACGGUCCAGACUCCUACGGGAGGCAGCAGUGGGGAAUUUUGGACAAUGGGGGCAACCCUGAUCCAGCCAUGCCGCGUGAGUGAAGAAGGCC
This 407-nucleotide ribosomal RNA is filed under the name bacterium enrichment culture clone ALO1_GLFRUDD03GGY9M. Its description in RNAcentral is "bacterial SSU rRNA". It matches the Rfam family "Bacterial small subunit ribosomal RNA", at positions 9 to 416 of the family's 1533-position model. The record is from RNAcentral.